CUACGGGUCGCUCCAGUGGGGAAUAUUGCACAAUGGGGGAAACCCUGAUGCAGCAACGCCGCGUGAAGGAAGAAGGCUCUUGGGUUGUAAACUUCUUUGAAUGGGGACGAAACAAAUGACGGUACCCAUAAAACAAGCCACGGCUAACUACGUGCCAGCAGCCGCGGUAAUACGUAGGUGGCAAGCGUUAUCCGGAAUUACUGGGUGUAAAGGGCGUGUAGGCGGGAGAGCAAGUCAGAUGUGAAAUGCCAAGGCUUAACCAUGGAACUGCAUCUGAAACUGUUUUUCUUGAGUACUGGAGAGGAAAGUGGAAUUCCUAGUGUAGCGGUGAAAUGCGUAGAGAUUAGGAGGAACACCAGUGGCGAAGGCGGCUUUCUGGAUAGUAACUGACGCUGAGGCGCGAAAGCGUGGGGAGCAAACAGGAUUAGAUACCCCCGUAGUC
RNAcentral lists this ribosomal RNA (442 nucleotides) under uncultured bacterium. Its description in RNAcentral is "partial 16S ribosomal RNA". It matches the Rfam family "Bacterial small subunit ribosomal RNA", at positions 339 to 795 of the family's 1533-position model. The record is from RNAcentral.